UUUUAUGAGAGUUUGAUCCUGGCUCAGGACGAACGCUGGCGGCGUACCUAAUACAUGCAAGUCGAACGCUUCUUUUUCCACCGGAGCUUGCUCCACCGGAAAAAGAGGAGUGGCGAACGGGUGAGUAACACGUGGGUAACCUGCCCAUCAGAAGGGGAUAACACUUGGAAACAGGUGCUAAUACCGUAUAACAAUCAAAACCGCAUGGUUUUGAUUUGAAAGGCGCUUUCGGGUGUC
This 237-nucleotide ribosomal RNA is filed under the name Enterococcus faecium. RNAcentral describes it as "partial 16S ribosomal RNA". It matches the Rfam family "Bacterial small subunit ribosomal RNA", at positions 1 to 216 of the family's 1533-position model. The record is from RNAcentral. Lineage: Bacteria; Bacillati; Bacillota; Bacilli; Lactobacillales; Enterococcaceae.